CUACGGGACGCUGCAGUGAGGAAUAUUGCACAAUGGGGGGAACCCUGAUGCAGCAACGCCGCGUGGAGGAUGACGCAUUUCGGUGUGUAAACUCCUUUUAUAUGUCAAGAAAAUGACGGUAGCAUAUGAAUAAGCACCGGCUAACUCCGUGCCAGCAGGCCGCGGUAAUACGGAGGGUGCAAGCGUUACUCGGAAUCACUGGGCGUAAAGGACGCGUAGGCGGGUUGGAAAGUCAGGUGUGAAAUCCUACAGCUUAACUGUAGAACUGCACUUGAAACUUCUAAUCUAGAGUAUGGGAGGGGAGAUGGAAUUAGUGGUGUAGGGGUAAAAUCCGUAGAUAUCACUAGGAAUACCUAAAGCGAAGGCGAUCUCCUGGAACAUUACUGACGCUAAGGCGUGAAAGCGUGGGGAGCAAACAGGAUUAGAUACCCUAGUAGUC
This 439-nucleotide ribosomal RNA is filed under the name uncultured bacterium. RNAcentral describes it as "partial 16S ribosomal RNA". It matches the Rfam family "Bacterial small subunit ribosomal RNA", at positions 339 to 795 of the family's 1533-position model. The record is from RNAcentral.